Molecule: ribosomal RNA, 253 nt
Filed under: uncultured bacterium
Lineage: Bacteria
Description: partial 16S ribosomal RNA
Rfam family: Bacterial small subunit ribosomal RNA
Source: RNAcentral
UACAGAGGGGGCAAGCGUUGUUCGGAAUUACUGGGCGUAAAGGGCGCGUAGGCGGCCUUCUAAGUCGAACGUGAAAUCCCCGGGCUCAACCCGGGAACUGCGUCCGAGACUGAAAGGCUUGAAUCCGGGAGAGGGAUGUGGAAUUCCCGGUGUAGCAGUGAAAUGCGUAGAUAUCGGAAGGAACAUCAGUGGCGAAAGCGACUUCCUGGACCAAUACUGACGCUCAUGUGCGAAAGCGUGGGGAGCAAACAGG